This 440-nucleotide ribosomal RNA is filed under the name uncultured bacterium. RNAcentral describes it as "partial 16S ribosomal RNA". It matches the Rfam family "Bacterial small subunit ribosomal RNA", at positions 338 to 795 of the family's 1533-position model. The record is from RNAcentral.
CCUACGGGAGGCAGCAGUGGGGAAUAUUGCACAAUGGGGGAAACCCUGAUGCAGCGACGCCGCGUGAGUGAAGAAGUAUUUCGGUAUGUAAAGCUCUAUCAGCAGGGAAGAAAAUGACGGUACCUGACUAAGACGCCCCGGCUAACUACGUGCCAGCAGCCGCGGUAAUACGUAGGGGGCAAGCGUUAUCCGGAUUUCCUGGGUUUAAAGGGAGCGUAGACGGCAGCACAAGUCUGGAGUGAAAUGCCCUGGCUUAACCCCGGAACUGCUUUGGAAACUGUGCAGCUAGAGUGCAGGAGAGGUAAGCGGAAUGCCUAGUGUAGCGGUGAAAUGCGUAGAGAUUAGGAGGAACACCAGUGGCGAAGGCGGCUUACUGGACUGUAACUGACGUUGAGGCUCGAAAGCGUGGGGAGCAAACAGGAUUAGAUACCCUAGUAGUC